This 242-nucleotide ribosomal RNA is filed under the name uncultured bacterium. RNAcentral's name for it is "partial 16S ribosomal RNA". It matches the Rfam family "Bacterial small subunit ribosomal RNA", at positions 89 to 334 of the family's 1533-position model. The record is from RNAcentral.
UGGCGAGUGGCGGACGGGUGAGGAAUACAUCGGAAUCUACCUUUUCGUGGGGGAUAACGUAGGGAAACUUACGCUAAUACCGCAUACGACCUUAGGGUGAAAGCGGAGGACCUUCGGGCUUCGCGCGGAUAGAUGAGCCGAUGUCGGAUUAGCUAGUUGGCGGGGUAAAGGCCCACCAAGGCGACGAUCCGUAGCUGGUCUGAGAGGAUGAUCAGCCACACUGGAACUGAGACACGGUCCAG